UGACUUUAUCGGAAAACUUGUAUUAUUGUUUACAAAUACAAAAUAAGCUUGAUAAAGAAAUCGCAUACAAUAUAAUAAGAUAUUUGUAUGUUACAAUUAUAUCGAACUGCAUAUUUUAUUAUUGGCUUAGGUGGAAGUUUAUAAACAUUCAGGACCUCGAAAAAUUCAGGCUUUCGAGCUCUUUUGUUCAAUUAGAAAACAGAAUAAGGAUUUCAGUUUUGUAAUAUCAAAAUCAACUUAUAAUUUAGAAAUGACAGUCAACAAACAAAUUAUCGAUAAUGAAAAUGUCAACGGCUUCAACAUUACACUAAAAGUGGAAAAACGUAAUAUUAAUCCAACGUCUCAGCGCUAUGUAAUAUCAUACAAAAAUAAGGAACAAAAGUCAUCAUUAUGGUCAAAGAAGUCCCUUAUAUGUGCAAUAAUCUUCAAUAUUUUAGCCAUGAGCUAUAUUCGUAUAAGUUUUACAGCAACUUUGAUUAUUAUUAUUGUGAUGUCAUUCCUUAUAUUUUUCUGGGUUACACACACCGUACAGUCAGAAACACUUCUAGUUAUUCCGACUGUGGGUAUACAGACCUCAGUGAAGUAUGUUGUAGGUAGAGAAGAUAAUUAUGUUUCUUGGAAUAACAUUGAUGAUGUCAUUAUUAAUGAAGUUAUUAAAUUUAAUAGAGUUCUUUACUUUCUCACAAUUUUAGUAAAGGGUAAUAACCAGGCAGAUCAAAUUAAAUUAAUGCCAUUAUUUAAGUACACAAAACCAAGGCUUAUGAUGCUGGAAGUUAUUUAUUCUGAAAUACAAUUAUUAUUACUAGACUCAAGGAAAGAAACCAAUGAGUUUGGGGAAGGGCAAGGUUCUGGGGAUAAAUAGAGAAAUGUAAAAAAAUUGAAUAGCUUAGUAUAUGCAACAUUUCUCAUACAUUGUUAGAAAAAACAUUAACAGAGAUGUUCUCAAUUUUGUUUACUUAUUUGUUUUAUAUAGUUAUUUAAUAAACCAGACACUACUUGACUGAUAAGUUUUGGAUUCACAAUUACUUUGUGUAUUAGUUAUGAAUUCAUAGUUAAAAUAUAUUACAAUUAUUUUACAAUUGUUACUGCUGUUUUAGCAAAUGUUUUGAAUGAAUAUUAGGUUUAAAUAAUUAUUAUAAAAUUACAUAAUUAAAAUUUUAGACUGUGAAUAUUUUAGUAUUCAGAAUAUUUAAUUUAACUGUUUGUAUUUGAGUGUUGUAAUAUCAAUAUAGAUAUAACUGUUAGUGAUAGUUUUGUAUUGUGAUUAGUUAAGAAUUUUUAUUUGAGAUAAUAGGUUGGAUUCAAUUUCUUUGUGUUGCUAAAUAUAACCAGAGCUUGGCUUAUAGUUAAUUUAGCUAGUACAGUCUAUGCAUAAAAUGUAGCUGUAAUAAAAUUUAAUACAGAUGCAAGCAUUUAUUCAUUAUUAUUGCACAGCAAUAUACAAAUUUUCUUUAAUA
Pieris napi is the source of this 1457-nucleotide long non-coding RNA. RefSeq lists it as uncharacterized. The record is from RefSeq and is a predicted model, not a curated record. Lineage: Eukaryota; Metazoa; Arthropoda; Insecta; Lepidoptera; Pieridae. The transcript has 4 exons.